AUGAGUCACCGAUCGCAUCACAUUCACGCAUCACUCCGCACAGCACACUAGACCAGAAUCAGAUCCGGCGGUAACCAUGGCCGAGGGGUUCCAGCUCCAGGGUCGGCACGGCAAGUCCCGUGUCCGCGUCUCCCACGUGUGGAGCCGCCCCGCGACUGCCUCCCCUCCUACACCUCCAGCGACAACUCCGCCAUCCUCGCCACCGAUUCCAUCAAGAACACCGUGUAUGUUAAGGCGAAGGAGUGCAUGGAAAUGGUGUCCAUGGAGGAAUUCGCGGUGAUUCUUGGAAAGCAUUUUACCUCGUUGUAUCCUCAGCAUCAUGGAGCUGGAGUCGUGAUCGCUGUUCAUCUUCCAUCCUACACGGUCGGGCGGUUGGAUUUAUUGGGCUCGAAAUGGGAAGCAUAAACCAUCCGCUCGCCUGCUGCAAUGGCACGUGUGCAGGCG
Molecule: long non-coding RNA, 444 nt
Organism: Phragmites australis (common reed)
Lineage: Eukaryota; Viridiplantae; Streptophyta; Magnoliopsida; Poales; Poaceae
Exons: 3
Source: RefSeq, a predicted model, not a curated record